CUGAGGACCAUGACCCGGGGCCUUUCUUCCCGAAGGUAGAAGGGGCACCAAAGAAGUGGGGUGCACAGAGUGGUUAUAUACCCCCAGAGAGGAUGUUUCAUAGGAUUGAAAUGUCCCUUUUACAAUAGUCGCGAGACUGCUCUGUCGGCACAGCGAUUGAUGAAACAGCAGGUAGGUCUGCUGUCUCGGUGAACACAGCAGGGUGGCAAGUCUGUUGUCUCCAGCUGAGUGGUCACAGGUGAGCUGGGUGGUCAAAGGUGAGUGCAGCAAUCAGUUCCUAGACUGAGGAAAGAUGCUUAUCUCUAAGGGAAUGCCAAUGUGGGGGGAAGUUGCACCUUUAUCUCAAGGGCCUUUGUUCUUGCCAUAGGAAAUAUCUAAAGCAGCUAUACAAUGCGUGCUCGACAACCACAGUCAGGCCCUUUUGGAAAAAACAAAGUCAGGCCGAAUUAGGUUUAUACCAAAUGGCUUCCUCAUAUACUCCAAUAUAUCCUAUUGCUUGCCAUUUUUAUUUGUCAUUUUCCCCUUUUGAUCUCUAAUCUUUUGAUAGAAAGCAUUAAUGAUCAAAAUAUUGUCCCUCGGCACCAGGGUGGUUGCUGCCUGCCCUGGGUCCAUCAUGUCCCUCGGUGCUAGGCUUUUAUCUCAUUAUUUGCCUAGUCAUCCACGUUGGGGGGAAAUAGUGGACAAGCAUGGAGUUAUAUAUAUUAACAGAGGAAGCAUUUCAUAUGUCAUGUAAUUUCCAAUUAAUUUUAGGUUGUUGCACACUGUAUAUGUGCUUUUCUACGACACUUCACAUUUACAUUGUAUAUGAUUAUAGAACAAGCACAGUAACAAUAAUAACUCAGCAUUUUUAAAAGGAUUGGUCUGAAAUGAAUUCUUAGCCAUAGUCCCUAUCAGAAAAGGAAAUUUGUCCAGGGUUAUAAGACAGAUCAACCAUCUCAAGCCGUCGAGCAAUCAUUACUCUAGUUUGUAUGCUACUCUUACAACACUGAGUAAAGAAAACAACAAUUAGUUUGAAUAUUAUGACUAGUACAAGAAUUCCAAGAAGUAGUAGAAAUAGGAUUUCUAAUCUGGAUCGGAAAAGGGAACUGAUAGGGGAAGGGAGCUAACCAAACAAUUCAAGACUGGGUGUCAGAUCGCAUAAGGCAUCCACUUGCUUCUUCAUGUGCUUCAGCAGAGAUGACACAUUGGAAGAUUCAUCAGGUGUAAAAGCACAGCAUCCAGUCUGAAUGAUUGUAUAUGUACCACCUUGGGAUGCAGUAAGAAUAUCUAAAGCCAUUCUGUUUUGAAGGACAGCCCCUCUCAUUACAGACAUUUCGGCAUUUGAAUAAGGCUAUUCCUGCUUGACUAUCAUUAAGGGCUUCUUGAGUAAAUUUAGCCAGAGCUUCCAUAUGUAAUAAUGACAUCUUUUAGCCCCAAAGAAGAAGCACAUGUAGCUGCAAAUAUAGCCAUACCAGUGUAACACCGAACAAGCCCAUCUGGCCUUAAAGAGAGGGAGGUUGGCAACAGGUUUUAACUCAGCCUGACUCCUUCCCUGCUUUUAAAAGAAACUCAGCGUGCAGUGUUUUAGCCAUCCAGGCAGUAGCCAAGGCCAAAGAUUUGUUCCACAUAACCACUGAGUUCCAUUAGGAGUCACUCGAUAAAUGCCUGGCCUUCAAGACCACUCUGUUCCAAAUUAAUCACUUUAAGUAUGAUAGCAUUUCAAACAAAUUAUAAAAUAGGCAUACAGUUUAAGCAUAACAAAUGUUUAAAUGAGGAGAUACAAGGUUAGGAAUACAGGCCUGGUCCGGAGUCUUGGGACAGCUGUCUACAACAGAUGCCGUCUUCUUCUCCUCCUGGUUUGGUCCUUUUCAACAGGGCUGCAAACAGUCUUAUUUGAUGUCUCUUUCAAUAAAUAAAUUCUUCAGGUUACAGUCCCA
Molecule: long non-coding RNA, 1916 nt
Filed under: Equus caballus (horse)
Lineage: Eukaryota; Metazoa; Chordata; Mammalia; Perissodactyla; Equidae
Description: lncRNA (ENSECAG00000048827.1)
Source: RNAcentral